GUCGCCGCCUGGCAUGGCAGCACUCCUCGGCUGCUAAUGGAUCGGGGCCGGUACAUUCAUUACACCGCGCCACUUGGUGCCGAACGGCAGAUGAAGAGAGGGAGGGAGAACAGGCCUUCCUUAGCUGCAUCUUGAGGCACACAAUGUGUGGACAGGCUGUGAAGAGCAAGCAGUGACAGAGGCCAAAAAUAGCCAGAUUUGCACAGUGCAGGAGAACAGCUGUUUUAGGAUAUGACUACACGCCUGCCAUGCGCUGCAUGGAUGAUCUUAUGAGGAACAGACAGAUGCCAGAUGUAACUGUAACCUCCCCCAAAUGUACUGGCCACACUGGCUGAAUUGAUGCACAUGGCUGAA
Long non-coding RNA from Alosa alosa (allis shad), 354 nucleotides. RefSeq lists it as uncharacterized. The transcript is spliced from 3 exons. Lineage: Eukaryota; Metazoa; Chordata; Actinopteri; Clupeiformes; Clupeidae. The record is from RefSeq and is a predicted model, not a curated record.